RNAcentral lists this ribosomal RNA (442 nucleotides) under uncultured bacterium. RNAcentral describes it as "partial 16S ribosomal RNA". It matches the Rfam family "Bacterial small subunit ribosomal RNA", at positions 338 to 795 of the family's 1533-position model. The record is from RNAcentral.
CCUACGGGUGGCAGCAGUGGGGAAUAUUGGGCAAUGGGCGAAAGCCUGACCCAGCAACGCCGCGUGAAGGAAGAAGGCUUUCGGGUUGUAAACUUCUUUUGACAGGGAAGAGCAGAAGACGGUACCUGUCGAAUAAGCCACGGCUAACUACGUGCCAGCAGCCGCGGUAAUACGUAGGUGGCAAGCGUUGUCCGGAUUUACUGGGGGUAAAGGGCGUGUAGCCGGGCUGACAAGUCAGAUGGGAAAUCCGGGGGCUCAACCCCCGAACUGCAUUUGAAACUGUUGGUCUUGAGUAUCGGAGAGGCAUGCGGAAUUCCUAGUGUAGCGGGGAAAUGCGUAGAUAUUAGGAGGAACACCAGUGGCGAAGGCGGCCGGCGGGACGAAAACUGACGGUGAGGCGCGAAAGCGUGGGGAGCAAACAGGAUUAGAUACCCCAGUAGUC